This 499-nucleotide ribosomal RNA is filed under the name uncultured bacterium. RNAcentral describes it as "bacterial SSU rRNA". It matches the Rfam family "Bacterial small subunit ribosomal RNA", at positions 28 to 516 of the family's 1533-position model. The record is from RNAcentral.
GACGAACGCUGGCGGCGUGCCUAACACAUGCAAGUCGAACGAGAAAGUCCCUUCGGGGGCGAGUACAGUGGCGCACGGGUGAGUAAUACGUGGAUAACCAACCCUCGGGUGGGGGAUAACAGUCCGAAAGGAUUGCUAAUCCCGCAUAAGACCACGACAGCUGCGGCUGUUGAGGCCAAAGGCGCUUUAAUGUGUCGCCUGAGGACGGGUCCGCGUCCCAUUAGCUAGUUGGCGGGGUAAUGGCCCACCAAGGCGAUGAUGGGUAGCUGGUCUGAGAGGAUGACCAGCCACACUGGGACUGGAACACGGCCCAGACUCCUACGGGAGGCAGCAGUGAGGAAUAUUGCACAAUGGGCGAAAGCCUGAUGCAGCAACGCCGCGUGAGUGAUGAAGGCCCUCGGGUUGUAAAGCUCUGUCGGGUGGGAAGAUGUGGUCCGGCUAACAACCGGAUUGUGACGGUCCAUCAAAGGAAGCACCGGCUAACUCCGUGCCAGCACGG